AUCUUGGACAAUGGGGGAAACCCUGAUCCAGCCAUGCCGCGUGUGUGAAGAAGGCCUUCGGGUUGUAAAGCACUUUCAGCGGGGAGGAAGGCUUCUGGCUAAUACCCGGGAGUACUUGACGUUACCCGCAGAAGAAGCACCGGCUAAUUUCGUGCCAGCAGCCGCGGUAAUACGAAAGGUGCGAGCGUUAAUCGGAAUUACUGGGCGUAAAGCGCGCGUAGGCGGCUAUUUAAGUCGGAUGUGAAAUCCCCGGGCUCAACCUGGGAAUUGCAUCCGAUACUGGGUAGCUAGAGUGCGGUAGAGGGAGGUGGAAUUCCAGGUGUAGCGGUGAAAUGCGUAGAGAUCUGGAGGAACACCAGUGGCGAAGGCGGCCUCCUGGACUGACACUGACGCUGAGGUGCGAGAGCGUGGGGAUCAAACAGG
RNAcentral lists this ribosomal RNA (423 nucleotides) under uncultured bacterium. RNAcentral's name for it is "bacterial SSU rRNA". It matches the Rfam family "Bacterial small subunit ribosomal RNA", at positions 361 to 776 of the family's 1533-position model. The record is from RNAcentral.